This 847-nucleotide long non-coding RNA is filed under the name Marmota monax (woodchuck). Lineage: Eukaryota; Metazoa; Chordata; Mammalia; Rodentia; Sciuridae. The record is from RNAcentral.
AUUUAUUCCUGCUUCCGCUUCCAAAUUUAAGAAAGGGCUGAGCUGAGCUGUGCUCCCUCCCUCCUGCAAGGAUUUGGUUGGAGCCAUGAGAUGACAUGAGUGACAUUAGCUCCAAGCCUAAAGCAGAGAGCUGGGGCUGUCGCUCAGGGGUUGGGCACUUGCCUCUCCAGGUGCAAGGCCCUGAGUUCAACUCCCGACACCUCGCCUCCCACCCCCCUGCCCAAAAAAGCAAGAAGAGCAAAAAAGAGUGUCACUUAAGGAAACACUAAUUAUAACUCUUUCUAUUCAGCUCUCAGAGCUCCAUCCCUCUGAGCUGCCAGACCCCACCAUUAGGCUGUCUACGUUGGCCUUAGGAACUUCCCUCAGACAAAUCUCCUCCCACACCCCCAAGUGAUGCCACGGUAUGGUGGGGGGCAACUGUGCAGGGGGUAAAACCCAAACUGCUGGCUUCAUUUCAAAACACAAACCCAACCCACCCCCCCCCAACAAACCAAGAGCGGCAGAUGAAGUGCUCUUCAUUCCCUCUGAGGAAAGGAUGGGAGAGCAACCAGGAGCCCAGGAACCUGGCCAUCUCGGUGAGACAAAAUGGCACCCGUCCACUCCUCACCUCUGUCAACCUUCUGCCUCAACGUCCUUCCCUCUGGUCCCAUCACUGCGCAAACCGAGGCAAUCUGUGAGUCUCAUCCAUCAGAUAGAAUUGACCAGGACAAAUGGCCGGCCUGGAAGUUCCCAAGGAAACAUUGCAGGUGGCCGGAAGGUGGAUGAGCCAAGUAGCCAGAACUUUCUCAGGGAUGAUCAGGACACAAUGGCUCCGACAGGAGGGCCGAGAGCGCCUUGUGACCACAAG